UUUAGAGGUCGCUUUAAUCGAAUAUGAAUACGCAACUAAUAAGUUAGAUUUAUAAAAAACAGAAAAUAAAUUGCAUAGCAAUUUUUUGGAAUUGGCAACGAAAUGAAUUGUAAAGAUUCUGCUCAGCUUUUAAUUCUACCAACGCUGAGGACACAUCAAUUUUCAGAAACUGUAUUUGGAAGUACUGUUGAGUUCUUUGUAUUGAAGAUGGUUGGCAGUUUCUUUUUGUGGAUUGGACAAGACAACAAACUACAUAAUCUAGCUCUAGCUAUGAAAACUCCAUAUGAUAAACUACCUAGUUCCACAUUUUUACUGGGAGAUCAUAUAGAUACAUUAUCAUCUAGUUUGGCACUGAAACUCAGUCAGAAAACAGGAAAACAAGUGUUUGUUAGUUACAAUCUACCAUCAAGCGAAGUUGCACUGUUAAAUAUAAUACAUGAACGACUUGCUAAAGAAAUGAAAGAAAACCCUGAUAAUUUCUGAUACUAGUAAGUUGUAAAAUAAUGUAAACAUCUGUUUUCAUUACAGUUAAAGUUCAUUCAUUUGUUUAAGAAAUAAAUGAUUUAGUCACUCAGAGGAUAAGGUUUGGUAAUCUUUAUAUCUUGCUAUGCAAGAUGUAUUUAAGUAUUCACUAAAUCAUGUUUGUUUAUUCAUUAUAUAAAGGAAAAGAUAUGAUCAUUUGAAGAAUAACAUAGUAUUGUGUAAAUUUAAACAUGGAAGUUGACAGUCCUUUAGAUGGACUUGGUUGUUGUUUACCAUCCAGAGAUCAAAUAUUACAUUAACCAGAGGAUAUUACAGAUUUAGUUAAGAACAUCAUUUUUAUGAUAUCCUUUAUUUGAAAUUCUUUAACUCAUUAUCUUUCCACCUCCUGCUUAGUUUUUCCUAUUGUUUUUUUAUGUUUGUAUCUUUUGAUUUUUUAAAUACUUAGUUAUUUUUACUUUUUUAUUUAUUUUUUAUUUUAUUUUUAUUUUUACAGACCUUGCACUUUAAAGUUCUCCUACUUUAUUGAUGAGUUGCAGUUGAAAUUGAAACUUUUUUAUAAGUGACUCAAAAUGCAAUCUCCUGUUUCAAAUGUUUUGUGCAGGAUGUAUUCAUAUGAUUGUAAUAUUAUGGUUUUUUUAGGUACUAGUAUCUCAUCUAGCAGUCUUAUGAUUUAUUGGUAUGUUUGUUGUACAUGUAUUAGCUCCUUUAGUAUAAACAAGAAGUAAUCACAUGGUAACUAAGUUGCAUACACAUGAUGCAUUGAUCAUCAAGAUUUUGUAAAAUAGUAUUGGUAGUUUAUUGAUUUUUUUGUUUUAAAAUCAUCUCAAACAUCUGAAAAAUAAUAAUGAAGAUUUUGCCAUAGUGAGUACUUAUUAUGAAAUUAAAAUUCACUCAGUGAUAACUGUUAUUUCGUUUUUGUGGAAAAUUUGGUAAAAUAUUAACUUUUAUUUAAAAAUUUGUCAUAUAAUGCAUGUACAAAACAUUUAAAAUUCAUAAAAAUGGGUUUCAAUUUCAAGAUAUGCAUCAUUACCACAAUAAGGUGGUAUAUUUCUAGCUUGUGUAUUAGUUUUAAAUUAUUUGUGACUUAAAAACAGUGGACAAAAUUAAGUAAGCCUUAUUUUUGUCAUUCAUAAGCCAAAUGUCUAGGAAAGAUAAUUAUAAUACACUUCAUGUGUAAAAAUCUGAAACAUUACAUCAUAGCUUUUAACAGGUGUAGUUCAAUUGACUUCUAAUUAAGUCUGUACUGUUCAGUAGUUUGUGAAACAGCUUGCCACCAACAACGUGUAACACAAGUUUUCAUUAUAAUUUUUUUUCAAUUUAUUGAAUUUGUUUUCCAAAACAUAUACACACUAUAUCUGUUCUAAAUAUAAUGUGUUUAGUAAGAUGCAUUUAUCAUCACUAUUGAAUAUUAAAUAAAAUUGAAAAUAUAGAUAAGUAUUUAAAUAGUGAUAGAAUAAAUAAAAACUUUAAACAACUUAGGAAAUAUGUAUUAAACUUUAAUGAUUUGUAAUAAUUUGAAGUUCCACAGUAAAGUCGUACUGCUGGGAAUAAGUAGAUAGAGUGCAGCCUACAACCGCAACGUCAUGCCGGUCGUAGGCUUCAAGGCAAAGGUCUACUUUUUUGUGUACUAAAGUUCGUCCUCGUCUUGUCCACUUCUGAUUAAAAUAAACCAGUAUGAUUUUUCAGAAAUUUAA
Molecule: long non-coding RNA, 2177 nt
Organism: Limulus polyphemus (Atlantic horseshoe crab)
Lineage: Eukaryota; Metazoa; Arthropoda; Merostomata; Xiphosura; Limulidae
Exons: 2
Source: RefSeq, a predicted model, not a curated record